GGCACCACAGGAGACAGACCAGCAUUGGUGAGAGGCCAAGAAAAUAACUCGCCUUCUUCCAAGCCUCUGAAUUUUUGCACCUUAUUGGGAGCGGACCUGGUGACUCUCCUAACAGUGCAGCUGCGGGGAAUAUAACACCAGGGGGCACCAAGCAAGGAUGGAGAAGGAAUAAACUGACCACUGCCUUCGGAUGAACCCACCAAACAUCAGAACAGAUCUCUUAGCAAGGCCUUCUCACAGCUACUUCUGCUGCAGUCCUGUGAGUCUCCAUCAUCGAUUUAUCUGUCUGAGGACAGUACAGCAUUUGAGCCUACACUUCCAGAGACCCCGUGGAAAGAAGAACCAUUGUUUAAGUGUCCAUCGAAACAUGGAUAUACUAAUGAUGCCGGAGUACCAGGAAGCAUGUUGGCCUCUGAAGAUAAUAUGGGAGCGCAUUAACCAUGCAUACAGUUCAGAUACUCCUCCUAUGGACUGGGGACUUCAAAAAGGGGACUACGGCUUCCAAACCUGGGUCUUCCCAAAUAACAAUGAAAAAUACUGUGUGGUCUGGGAUUCUCAGCGUUCCUAUUGGAAGGUGAACACUCCGUUUGGACAGUGUUUAUUUUUUCUAGGACCUCUGAUCAUCAACAAAGAAAGGAUGGGUCUGGCUGCACCCCCGUUAUUCAAUGUCAAUGUGUCAGAUACAGAUACACUGAUGCCGGACUCGCCUGUAAAGGUGGCAGAGCAAAUGCAAAAAAUUGUGCAAUUUGUGGUUAAGCCUUACAGCAACAAAGCAUCCUGAGAUACAACCUGUAUGUGUUCCAUAGUGAUUGCUGAUUACCCAUGUUUUAAGUUACAUUCAGACGCUUAGUUUAUUUAAAUAAGGUGUGGAGAUGUCACAUUUUAGUGGGGGGAGGGGUUUUCUAUCGUAGUACAGUAGGUGGCCACAGACCUGUUUUGGAAAUGUUAACUGUCUUGAUACAUACUUAGUUGGUGAGGUUGAAAAAAGUAUUUUGUGGAGUUUUGCAGAGACGCAAGAAGACUGUUUAGUCUCUCUGGGGCACACUUUUCACAUAGUAGUACGGUAAGUAUAUUGGUUUGGUUAUAUGGUAUGAUUGUAGGUACUGUAAGUAAAGAUUUUUUCGUUAAAACUUAACUUUUUUAAAGGGUAUACAAACGAAAAUGAUAAAAUACACCAAUGAAAAAAUUAAUUAAUUAAAAACAUAUUAAAUAAAUUGCUCACUUCUAUUCAAUUUAAAAGUGUCAAAGUGUCUAGUGUCAAAGUGGGCACUGUCUAUGUCAGACGUGAGUACAAUAAAGAAGAGACUUAUAUC
This is a long non-coding RNA of Pseudophryne corroboree (corroboree frog), 1313 nucleotides long. RefSeq lists it as uncharacterized. Lineage: Eukaryota; Metazoa; Chordata; Amphibia; Anura; Myobatrachidae. The transcript has 4 exons. The record is from RefSeq and is a predicted model, not a curated record.